GAGUUUGAUCGUGGCUCAGAUUGAAUGCUGGCGGCAUGCCUUACACAUGCAAGUCGAACGGCAGCACGGGAGCUUGCUCCUGGUGGCGAGUGGCGAACGGGUGAGUAAUGCAUCGGAACGUAUCCUGGAGUGGGGGAUAACGUAGCGAAAGUUACGCUAAUACCGCAUAUUCUGUGAGCAGGAAAGCGGGGGACCUUCGGGCCUCGCGCUCUUGGAGCGGCCGAUGUCGGAUUAGCUAGUUGGUGAGGUAAAGGCUCACCAAGGCGACGAUCCGUAGCAGGUCUGAGAGGAUGAUCUGCCACACUGGAACUGAGACACGGUCCAGACUCCUACGGAGGCAGCAGUGGGGAAUUUUGGAUAAUGGGGGCAACCCUGAUCCAGCCAUGCCGCGUGAGUGAAGAAGGCCUGUGUAAG
RNAcentral lists this ribosomal RNA (414 nucleotides) under bacterium enrichment culture clone ALO1_GLFRUDD03HAIO2. RNAcentral describes it as "bacterial SSU rRNA". It matches the Rfam family "Bacterial small subunit ribosomal RNA", at positions 9 to 421 of the family's 1533-position model. The record is from RNAcentral.